RNAcentral lists this ribosomal RNA (834 nucleotides) under uncultured organism. RNAcentral describes it as "bacterial SSU rRNA". It matches the Rfam family "Bacterial small subunit ribosomal RNA", at positions 649 to 1485 of the family's 1533-position model. The record is from RNAcentral.
CUGGAGAGGGAAGCGGAAUUCCUAGUGUAACGGUGAAAUGCGUAGAUAUUAGGAGGAACACCAAGUGGCGAAGNCGGCUUCCUGGACAGAGACUGACACUGAGGCGCGAAAGCGUGGGGAGCGAACAGGAUUAGAUACCCUGGUAGUCCACGCUGUAAACGAUGGAUACUAGGUGUAGGUGGUAAGAAGCCAUCUGUGCCGGAGUAAACACAAUAAGUAUCCCACCUGGGGAGUACAGCCGCAAGGUUGAAACUCAAAGGAAUUGACGGGGGCCCGCACAAGCAGUGGAGUAUGUGGUUUAAUUCGAAGCAACGCGAAGUACCUUACCAGGGCUUGACAUCCCUUGAACUAUCUAGAGAUAGGUAGGGCCUACGGGACAAGGAGACAGGUGGUGCAUGGUUGUCGUCAGCUCGUGUCGUGAGAUGUUGGGUUAAGUCCCGCAACGAGCGCAACCCUUAUAGCUAGUUGCCAGCAAUAAGAUGGGGACUCUAGCGAGACAGCCGUUGAGAAAACGGAGGAAGGAAAGGAUGACGUCAAAUCAUCAUGCCCCUUAUGCUCUGGGCUACACACGUACUACAAUGGCUACUACAGAGGGAAGCGAAGCCAGGAGGCGGAGCAAAUCUCAAAAAGGUAGUCCCAGUUCAGAUUGUAGGCUGAAACUCGCCUGCAUGAAGUAGGAAUUGCUAGUAAUUGCAGGUCAGAAUACUGCAGUGAAUACGUUCCCGGGCAUUGUACACACCGCCCGUCACACCAUGAGAGUCUGCAACACCCGAAGUCAGUAGUUUAACCGAAAGGAGACACUGCCGAAGGUGGGGUNAGGUGAUUGGGGUGAAG